GAUGAACGCUGGCGGCGUGCCUAAUACAUGCAAGUCGAGCGAACAGAUGAGGAGCUUGCUCCUCUGACGUUAGCGGCGGACGGGUGAGUAACACGUGGAUAACCUACCUAUAAGACUGGGAUAACUUCGGGAAACCGGAGCUAAUACCGGAUAAUAUAUUGAACCGCAUGGUUCAAUAGUGAAAGACGGUUUUGCUGUCACUUAUAGAUGGAUCCGCGCCGCAUUAGCUAGUUGGUAAGGUAACGGCUUACCAAGGCAACGAUGCGUAGCCGACCUGAGAGGGUGAACGGCCACACUGGAACUGAGACACGGUCCAGACUCCUACGGGAGGCAGCGGUAGGGAAUCUUCCGCAAUGGGCGAAAGCCUGACGGAGCAACGCCGCGUGAGUGAUGAAGGUCUUCGGAUCGUAAAACUCUGUUAUUAGGGAAGAACAAAUGUGUAAGUAACUAUGCACGUCUUGACGGUACCUAAUCAGAAAGCCACGGCUAACUACGUG
Molecule: ribosomal RNA, 497 nt
Filed under: uncultured bacterium
Lineage: Bacteria
Description: partial 16S ribosomal RNA
Rfam family: Bacterial small subunit ribosomal RNA
Source: RNAcentral